This 301-nucleotide ribosomal RNA is filed under the name uncultured bacterium. Its description in RNAcentral is "partial 16S ribosomal RNA". It matches the Rfam family "Bacterial small subunit ribosomal RNA", at positions 509 to 807 of the family's 1533-position model. The record is from RNAcentral.
CAGCAGCCACGGUAAUACGUAGGGUGCGAGCGUUAAUCGGAAUUACUGGGCGUAAAGCGUGCGCAGGCGGUUGUGUAAGACAGGUGUGAAAUCCCCGGGCUUAACCUGGGAACUGCGCUUGUGACUGCACAGCUAGAGUAUGGCAGAGGGGGGUGGAAUUCCACGUGUAGCAGUGAAAUGCGUAGAGAUGUGGAGGAACACCGAUGGCGAAGGCAGCCCCCUGGGCCAAUACUGACGCUCAUGCACGAAAGCGUGGGGAGCAAACAGGAUUAGAUACCCCUGUAGUCCCUGUCUCUUAUAC